AUUGGAUAAUUUAUUUAAUUUAAAAGUAGGUUUACAAGAGAAUUAAUAGAAAUAAUUAAAGUGGUUUAAUUAGUUUUGGAAAGAAUUAAAUUUAUUAUAGAGAAAUAGUAUUGUGAAAGAAUGAAAGAAGUUUAUUUAAAAGAAAAAUUAAGGUUUUGUACCUUGUGUAUCAGGGUUUAUUAAAUAAGAUUUAGUGUUUUAAGUUUCCCGAAUUUAGAAGAGUUAUGAGUUUAUAUUUUUUAUUGUGGAAUAAUUAUUAUGAAUAAAUUUAUUGAAGUGAAAUGCUAUACGAUUUUAAAUUUAUCUGGUUUUUCAAGAAAGAAGUUUAAUUUUUUACUUGUUUAAGUAUAGGGUUAUUUAGCUAAUUUUGUAUUUGCAUGUUGGAAUAUUCUAGGGGAUGAGCUUUGGAAUAAAGAAAUAAAGUUAUGGAGGUUUAGUUUUAAUAAGUAGAAUUGGAAGUUUUUUUCUUUAAUAGUGUUUUAUUACUGGUUAUUUUAUAAUUUAGAUUUUUAUUUAAUUUAUGUUUUUUAUUGAAAUUAAGGUUUAAAUUUUUGAUAUUUUGAAAUAAUGGUAAAAUUAGUAUAUUAAUUUGUAAAUAUGAAAUUUAAUUGUUAGGUUAGGUUAAGGAAUUCGGCAAAAUAAAUUUUCACCUGUUUAUUAAAAACAUGGCUUUUUGAGAAUGAUUUAAAGUCUGACCUGCCCAAUGAGUAGUUGAAUGGCCGCGGUAUACUGACCGUGCAAAGGUAGCAUAAUCAAUAGUUUCUUAAUUAGAAGCUUGUAUGAAAGGUUGGAUGAGGGAUUUACUGUCUCAGCCUUAAUUUAAUAGAAAUUUAUUUUUAAGUAAAAAAGCUUAAAUGUCUAUAAAAGACGAGAAGACCCUAUAGAGUUUUACAUUUAGAGGAAUUUAUAAUUUUAGUAUUUAUAAUUUAUUUAUUUUUCAUUAUGUUUGACUGGGGUGGUCGAAAAACUAAAAAAACUUUUUUUUCUUGAAACAUUUAUUUAUGAAUAGUUGAUCCUUUGUUUAAGAUUAAAAGAUUAAAUUACCUUAGGGAUAACAGCGUAAUUUUUUUGGAGAGUUCUAAUCGAUAAAAAAGUUUGCGACCUCGAUGUUGGAUUAAAAUUUAAGUUUGGUGUAGAAGCUGAAUUAUUUAGGUCUGUUCGACCUUUAAAAUUUUACAUGAUCUGAGUUUAAACCGGUGUGAGCCAGGUUGGUUUCUAUCUUUAUAAAUUUUUAAUGUUUUAGUACGAAAGGACCAAAUGUUAGAUUUAAAAUUUAUUUUUGAAUGAUAUU
This 1291-nucleotide ribosomal RNA is filed under the name Curculionoidea sp. 31 KM-2017. RNAcentral's name for it is "16S ribosomal RNA". The stretch from base 837 to 1229 matches the Rfam family "Bacterial large subunit ribosomal RNA", at positions 2049 to 2651 of the family's 2925-position model. Lineage: Eukaryota; Metazoa; Arthropoda; Insecta; Coleoptera. The record is from RNAcentral.